Molecule: RNase P RNA, 388 nt
Filed under: Candidatus Omnitrophota bacterium
Lineage: Bacteria; Pseudomonadati; Candidatus Omnitrophota
Description: Candidatus Omnitrophica bacterium RNase P RNA component class A
Rfam family: Bacterial RNase P class A
About the family: Ribonuclease P (RNase P) is a ubiquitous endoribonuclease, found in archaea, bacteria and eukarya as well as chloroplasts and mitochondria. Its best characterised activity is the generation of mature 5'-ends of tRNAs by cleaving the 5'-leader elements of precursor-tRNAs.
Source: RNAcentral
GGAGCGGAUCGGGUGAUCGCCCGUUCCCUGACGGGGACGGGAGGAAAGUCCGGGCUUCAUAUAGCGGCGCAGCGGGUAACGCCCGUCCGCCUUAAGGCGAGGAUAAGAGCCACAGAGACGAGUCUGCUUCGCCCUUCUGUGGGGCGAAGCAGGGUGAAACGCGGCAAUCUCUGCGUGAAGCAAGGCCAAAUAGGGAAGGAACCGGAAAAGUCCGGUCCGUGCGGACAGACCGGUACGGGGCAGCUAGUCCCGUCAUACUUCCGGGUAGGCCGCAGGAAUACGCCAGUAAUGGCGUAUCCAGAUGGAUGGUCACCAUCUUCCGGAGCCUGGCCGUGCAACGGCCCGGUAAUGGAGGUGACAGAACCCGGCUUACAGAUCCGCUUCAGUU